Vicia villosa (hairy vetch) is the source of this 326-nucleotide long non-coding RNA. RefSeq lists it as uncharacterized. The transcript is spliced from 3 exons. The record is from RefSeq and is a predicted model, not a curated record. NCBI's taxonomy places the organism in Eukaryota, Viridiplantae, Streptophyta, Magnoliopsida, Fabales, Fabaceae.
CUCAUCAUCAAUGUUAUUUCUCUUCUCGCAAUUUAAUUUCUCUUCUCCCAAUCCCUUAUCAUCUCAUCAUCAAUGUUAUUUCAUUUCCCAAUUCAUAUACUACAAUUUAAUCGUCACUCCUAUUUUCCAGGUUGCAGCUCAGAACUUUGUUAUGAAACGACUCUGGGGUUAUGUAAUUAAGAGUAGAUGCUGGGUUUGAAAAGGUGCAAAUGGAGACUAAACGUCUAAACCUCAAACUUCUUGGAAAGAAAAACCAUAUGUUCUGGACUGACCAAACAACGAAGAACUUGGUCCAAUUUUAUGUUUGACCAUUAAAUUAAGUUAAA